Exserohilum turcica Et28A is the source of this 107-nucleotide non-coding RNA. Lineage: Eukaryota; Fungi; Ascomycota; Dothideomycetes; Pleosporales; Pleosporaceae. The record is from the annotation of a RefSeq genome assembly.
UCCGAUAUGGUCUAGUGGCUAGGAUUUGCCGCUCUCACUUGCAGAGUCAGUUCACUUGUUUCUCAAACAGUGCCGGCAAGGCCCGGGUUCGAUUCCCGGUGUCGGAA